CUUUCGCCUUAAACCACUACAUUAUUUAGGUUUUCAAUGUCAGUUUGGUUCUAAUAUUGAAAAUCUUCCAGGAAAUAAGAAUAUUUGGAUUUCAUGAAAAUUUGAUGAAUUUAGGUUUUUACUUGUAUUAGUAAAAAACCCUAGGCUUGUGCAUGAAUUUACGAGAUUAUAAUUUUUCAGCUCUAAAUCCUUUUGCUGGAGAAAUAGUUAACUGUUGUUCAAUUGAGCAGGUAGUCUGCAUCAUAACUCUAUAAAUUUU
Molecule: unclassified non-coding RNA, 259 nt
Filed under: Hevea brasiliensis (rubber tree)
Lineage: Eukaryota; Viridiplantae; Streptophyta; Magnoliopsida; Malpighiales; Euphorbiaceae
Source: RNAcentral